AGCAGUCGCGGUAAUUCCAGCUCCAAUAGCGUAUAUUAAAGUUGUUGCAGUUAAAAGCUCGUAGUUGAAUUUCGAGACCGGCUUACUGGUCGUGCUAUUGUACGUACUGGUAUAAUCGGUUUCUCCUUUCUGACGAACUAUAAUGCCAUUAAUUUGGUGUUAUAGGGAAUCAGGACUGUUACUUUGAAAAAAUUAGAGUGUUUAAAGCAGGCUCACGCUUGAAUACAUUAGCAUGGAAUAACGGAAUAGGACGUUUGAUUCUAUUUUGUUGGUUUCUAGGAUCGACGUAAUGAUUAAUAGGGAUAGUUGGGGGCAUUAGUAUUCAAUUGUCAGAGGUGAAAUUCUUGGAUUUAUUGAAGACUAACUACUGCGAAAGCAUUUGCCAAGGAUGUUUUCAUUAAUCAAGAACGAAAGUUAGGGGAUCGAAGACGAUCAGAUACCGUCGUAGUCUUAACCAUAAACUAUGCCGACUAGGGAUCGGAUGAUGUUAAUUUUUUCAAUGACUCAUUCGGCGCCUUAC
This 520-nucleotide ribosomal RNA is filed under the name uncultured Glomus. RNAcentral's name for it is "SSU rRNA". It matches the Rfam family "Eukaryotic small subunit ribosomal RNA", at positions 569 to 1091 of the family's 1831-position model. The record is from RNAcentral. Lineage: Eukaryota; Fungi; Glomeromycota; Glomeromycetes; Glomerales; Glomeraceae.